AUGAGGAGGCGGAUGGAUCAUUCACUACAGAUUUUUGAACAAAGAAAGGUCAACACAAUACCAUCGAGAAUUCAUGCACGGGACCUGGAUGCGAGAAUUCUCGAUGAUACCAUCAAGAACAGACGUCCUGAAAUGAUGGUAGUUGCCGAUUUGGACGCUGUUUUCCUGCCAUUGCCCGACGAUCUCUUGGUGAAUUUGGUUGAUUCUGGACAUGGUAUCGAGUCCUUUCUUGACAGCUUGCCCAAUAUGUUUCAGGACAAUGUAAAUGUAGAAUCUUCUCAUGGUCCUGCACUUGGAGCAGCAUUCGUGGUUAUGGUUCAAACUGGGGGUAAGUUGCUUGUCUCCCAGAGUACAUUGCCAUCUCUUGGUAUUGGCCGUUUGAGACUUCGAGGAGAUGAUGUCCGUGCAUAUGGAACAGACAAGGAGCAUAUUCUGAGGAUACCAGAAGAUCCCUUCUAUAAACAGAUGGCUGCUGAGUUCACGAAAAAUCAGAUCGCUGUGGAAAUAUUUUCUUUGAGUGACAAAUAUACACCAUCUUCUGGUGAAAGACGUAUCAGGGUGCAUACGGCAGCUGCACCUGUGGUCACAGAUCUUGGUGAGAUGUAUCGUCAAGCAGAUACUGGUGCCAUUGUGUCAAUGCUGGCUAGAAUCGCUGUUGAAAACUCACUGUCUGAUAAGCUGGACAGUGUCCGGCAACAAUUACAGUUAAAGCUUCCGAGAAGUUUGAAGGAAUACCGGAACCUAUAUGUUGUACAACAUCGCAUAGGCGGGAGACUGAUAUACCCAGAAUCAUUAAGAUACUUGCCAUUAUACAUCCUGGCCUUAUGCAAAUCCCUUGCUCUGCGUGGUGGUUAUGCUGAUGUCUCUCUUGAUGAACGCUGGGCUGCUGGUUUCAGUAUGAUGAUACUGCCUGCAAGAAGGCUGCUUGAUGAAGUAUUGACAAUGGAACCAGACAGGAUCGAUGAUGGCUUCACCUUCCUAGUAUGGUUGGGUAGAAUGCUCCAGCCUGAGCUCAUGAACGACAUUCUUGGAGUCAGCCUGUCAAACUUCCCUGAUCUAUCAAAGAAGUUGAGAGAAUGUGACAACAAUCACUCGAGAAACUUCAUGGCAGUACUAAGAACCCUAAGGGAGAGGGAUUCUUCAUGUUACCAGUUGCCCCGCGUGGUACGGCAAGGUGAGCAGCCAAGAGAAGGCUUCCUACUUCUGUCCAAUCUCGUCGAGGAUCAGAUGGCUGAAACAAGCAGUUACAUGGACUGGAUACUCCAAAUUCACCGCCAAACACAGAGCUCAUGA
Molecule: ribosomal RNA, 1293 nt
Filed under: Triticum aestivum (bread wheat)
Lineage: Eukaryota; Viridiplantae; Streptophyta; Magnoliopsida; Poales; Poaceae
Description: partial small subunit ribosomal RNA
Source: RNAcentral